AGCAUGCGGAUUAAUUCGAUGCAACGCGAAGAACCUUACCAAGGCUUGACAUACACCGGUAACGCCCAGAGAUGGGUGCCCCUUUGUGGUCGGUGGACAGGUGGUGCAUGGUUGUCGUCAGCUCGUGUCGUGAGAUGUUGGGUUAAGUCCCGCAACGAGCGCAACCCUCGUCCUAUGUUGCCAGCGGGUUAUGCCGGGGACUCAUGGGAGACUGCCGGGGUCAACUCGGAGGAAGGUGGGGAUGACGUCAAAUCAUCAUGCCCCUUAUGUCUUGGGCUUCACGCAUGCUACAAUGGCCGGUACAAAGGGCUGCGAUACCGCGAGGUGGAGCGAAUCCCAGAAAGCCGGUCUCAGUUCGGAUUGGGGUCUGCAACUCGACCCCAUGAAGUCGGAGUCGCUAGUAAUCGCAGAUCAGCAACGCUGCGGUGAAUACGUUCCCGGGCCUU
Molecule: ribosomal RNA, 446 nt
Filed under: uncultured Curtobacterium sp.
Lineage: Bacteria; Bacillati; Actinomycetota; Actinomycetes; Micrococcales; Microbacteriaceae
Description: bacterial SSU rRNA
Rfam family: Bacterial small subunit ribosomal RNA
Source: RNAcentral